GAUGAAAAAACUUUGAUGGGCGCCUGGAGUCCAGCCAGAGGAAGUGAACUAACCUAUAGUACAUCUAAACAAAGCUAUCUGUAAAGAUCUUAUUAGCAGUGAAGACCAUAAAACUGAAGAGUCUGACUUGACGUGGGAUGGACAGGAUCAGUUAAGUUAGGACAUGGUCUGUACUACUUUUGUAAUCUGCACUCCUACUAUAGAAGGGCAGAUACAACCUACGACAAGAGCAAGUACCACUUGUAGGAUUCAUAGGACGACCAGAACUUCAACAGGACUGCAACAGUCACUCUCGACAAGACUAUGAUCAUCACUUCAACAGAACUGCGAUCAUCAUCCAGACCAACAGGUUUCUUUUCCUUUUACUUUACCUCCAGGGGGACCACAUGGUGGUCAGCACAGGGGUGGAUGAACACCAUUGUGUUAUUGUCCUGGGGUGCGGGGUUAUACAUCUGUCUUUGUGGGUUAAAACCAGUUUUCCCUGUAUCAUUGCCUUUAUUGUAAUUUUUUUUUUUAGUAAAUUGUAAGUCUGACUUGUAAUCUCUUGAGUUGGG
This is a long non-coding RNA of Neopelma chrysocephalum (saffron-crested tyrant-manakin), 554 nucleotides long. RefSeq lists it as uncharacterized. Lineage: Eukaryota; Metazoa; Chordata; Aves; Passeriformes; Pipridae. The record is from RefSeq and is a predicted model, not a curated record. The transcript has 3 exons.